RNAcentral lists this ribosomal RNA (274 nucleotides) under uncultured bacterium. Its description in RNAcentral is "partial 16S ribosomal RNA". It matches the Rfam family "Bacterial small subunit ribosomal RNA", at positions 523 to 796 of the family's 1533-position model. The record is from RNAcentral.
AUACGUAGGUGGCAAGCGUUGUCCGGAUUUACUGGGCGUAAAGCGCGCGCAGGUGGCCCGUCAAGUCUAGGGUGAAAUCUCCCGGCUCAACCGGGAGAGGUCUCUGGAAACUGACGGGCUUGAGGAGAGCAGAGGAGAGUGGAAUUUCCGGUGUAGCGGUGAUAUGCGUAGAUAUCGGAAGGAACACCAGUGGCGAAGGCGGCUCUCUGGGCUCUUCCUGACGCUGAGGCGCGAAAGCGUGGGGAGCGAACCGGAUUAGAAACCCUAGUAGUCC